This 407-nucleotide ribosomal RNA is filed under the name uncultured Wolinella sp. Its description in RNAcentral is "bacterial SSU rRNA". It matches the Rfam family "Bacterial small subunit ribosomal RNA", at positions 375 to 774 of the family's 1533-position model. The record is from RNAcentral. Lineage: Bacteria; Pseudomonadati; Campylobacterota; Epsilonproteobacteria; Campylobacterales; Helicobacteraceae.
GGGCAACCCUGAUCCAGCCAUGCCGCGCGAGUGAAGAAGGCCUUCGGGUUGUAAAGCUCUUUCGGCCGGGAAGAAAUCGUGCAGGCUAAUACCCUGUAUGGAUGACGGUACCGGAAUAAGAAGCCCCGGCUAACUACUGGCCAGCAGCCGCGGUAAUACGGAGGGUGCAAGCGUUACUCGGAAUCACUGGGCGUAAAGAGCACGUAGGCGGCCUUGCAAGUCAGAUGUGAAAUCCAACGGCUUAACCGUUGAACUGCAUUUGAAACUGCAAGGCUAGAGUAUGGGAGAGGUAGGUGGAAUUCUCGGUGUAGGGGUAAAAUCCGUAGAGAUCGAGAGGAAUACUGAUUGCGAAGGCGACCUGCUGGAACAUUACUGACGCUGAGGUGCGAAAGCGUGGGGAGCAAACA